GAGAGCACAGUACGAUGAAAGUUGUAAACUGUGUUCGGGGGGGGGGGGGGGGGGGGGGUUAUUGUCUAUCGUUGGCCUCUAUGGUAGAAUCAGUCGGGGGACCUGAGAGGCGGUGGUUUACCCUGC
RNAcentral lists this non-coding RNA (126 nucleotides) under Helianthus annuus (common sunflower). Lineage: Eukaryota; Viridiplantae; Streptophyta; Magnoliopsida; Asterales; Asteraceae. The record is from RNAcentral.